Molecule: long non-coding RNA, 210 nt
Organism: Saccostrea cuccullata (small rock oyster)
Lineage: Eukaryota; Metazoa; Mollusca; Bivalvia; Ostreida; Ostreidae
Exons: 2
Source: RefSeq, a predicted model, not a curated record
GGGGGGGGGGUUGCAUUGUUUUGUUUGCAAUGGUGUACGGUUGGUGGGGACCGGAGAGUACCGAGAUCUAGAACUGAAAGGGGGGGGCCUUUUCCAGAACACCUACAUGCAUCUCUCAUCGAUGGAUACAAUUAAGAGAAAUAAAUCAUUUAUAAAUUAUAGUAUUCAGUAAUUGUUUAUUAAGAGAAAUAAUAAAAACAAAUUAUUAUA